Astatotilapia calliptera (eastern happy) is the source of this 3144-nucleotide long non-coding RNA. The record is from Ensembl. Lineage: Eukaryota; Metazoa; Chordata; Actinopteri; Cichliformes; Cichlidae.
GAAUGCGUGAAGUCCCCCUGAUUUGGCGGGCUAUUUCUAUAAUCAGGCGCACAUUUGUAACUCUGUGCUCUUCCCCUCCUGUCCGGCUACCACCGCCACCUUUACAUUUCCAAACCCCUCACCCCUCCCCGAGACCAUCCAUCCAAACCCACCGUUCUUUUGAGCAGGGUCCUUGAAUCUUGAAUGCAAACACCAAAUAUUUUACCCUCCGACAACAACAGGGAGAGGACGCGCAACGGACUGACUUUCUCCAUCCUGGCGAAGGAGGAGAGACUGUAGGCUGCCCUGUCCCCCUUUCUGCUCAAAUCAUGUAUUCAAACAGAGUUUAUAAAGACACAGAAAGCAAGAAAUAUUGCAGUGUCGAACAAGGACGUGACUGCAAACUGAGGAAUCUUACUGACAGAAAAGCGACGCUGGAAGAGGAAGAGGAGGGAGUGAUGUGAAGGAGCUGUUGCUGCAGCAGAGACCAGGCACACCGCAUGGGGAAACCCGGGAGCUGUCCAGCAGCAAUGGAGAGAACAAUGACAACAUGAGUGAAGAUGGAAACGGGGUGACUUAGGAGCUCAGGUGGACUUGACUGCUGCUGCUGGAGCCUUCAGCUGGGCGCCGGUGAGAAAAGGUGACCUACGAUUUGGAUGUAUGCACCGAGGAUCGACUGAAAGAGGGACCGACCGAUCGACCUUCCUUCCUCCCCCUUUCCUCUGUCCUCCCUCACCUUCUCUCUCUCUCUUCUCCAUCUUGAGACAGGAGAUGUUCACGAACAAGUUGAAUCAGACGUGAUAACAAACUGUUCCUCACUUUGUCUUCACAGUUAAUGGAUGACGGUCAAAAAGAAAGAAAAUGGAAACUAACACGACCAAUGACAGAAAAGAAGAAAAGGUUAGAAAACAAAAGCUCUUGGAUCCAGCAGGGUGGGAGCAGCAGCUGGACGGGCAACACUCAGAUCAAGCAACACUUUUGUUUCCAUCAGCACCGCCUGAAAUUCCAGAAAGUCAAACAGGUUUAAGUAAGACACAUCCACACCCCCUGCACUCAGAACCAGUCAGAGUGGCCUAAUCCUGGGGCAAAGUAAACAGGGUGUGACCUGUGAUUGCUCUAGUAUGAAUGAAACCUUUUCUUAUUGAAUGUGAAGUUAUAAUUUUUGAAGAAACUACAUUUCUCAAAAUCUAAAGUCAUUUCUUUCCACCACAAACUCAGAAAACAAUUAUCUCAGUUUCAAAAAUUAGAAAAUCAAGGCAAACCCUAAAUACAUUUGGCAAGUUUGCACAGGUACAGGUGGAAAACAAAUUGCAAAAACAAGCAAAAAAGGUGGAGCAAGGAAAGGAAAAGAGCCCAGUCAAGUUCCAACAAGCACAGCAGGAAUAAUCUCAGUUAAAAAAAAAACAUCUAUAGCAAUGAACCAACCAGUUUAUGUCAGUAAAUGCAGGGAAAUUAUGCUUCCGCUUAAGUACACCUCCAAGAACCAGUUUUAAACCACCUUUUAGACUACGUCAGCAUAUUUGAGACUCUUUAAAGCUGCAGAAAGAGAGAGACUUAGUCAUGAUUAAACAAUGCAGGUAGAUAAAUUGUAUUCCAGCUCUUAAGUAGCUUCUGGAACAUAAGGCGAAAACACUACCCCGGCCUAAUGUGACCUAAGGUGACAUCGCUGAUUAUGGAGUUUGUUUGUUUGUUUGUUUGUUUUAUUUCUUGUUAGUAAAACUUUGUUAUUUUAAGACAUUCUAUCAGCUAUUGAUAAAUUAAAUCUCAUACUAAUUCUCUGAUUAUCAAACCAAUGUCAGGGGUUGCUGAGUGGAUGUGGAGAAAAGGACUCAAACGCAGGACUCACGGUGAAGAUUCAGGGUGUUUAUUGUGAGGGACGAAUGACGAAAACAGGAGAUGGCUGACUGACUGAAUAACUGAAUGAACGGCUGACUGAUCUGAACUUGGAAGGCAAACAUGGGUCAUAGACAGCAGUGACAACAUCAAUGACGCGACGCCGACCAGGAGACAACUGAGGACUUAAAUACACUGGCUGAACAAUGACUGAUAGGUGACAGAACAAUGAGAUACACACAUGGACAGGAGGCUGAACAUGCUCAUGGGUGGCUCUUCAGCUGGACACACACAUGGCAGAUCCUGUGACCUUGUUACCGCCGUCGGACCGCAGCUAUUGGACUGCGAGGACGUGGCCGUGACGUGACUGUGGACUUUCAAAACAUCUGAUAGACCGUGUGCCUGUGUAUGUGUGUGUGUGUGUGUGUGUGUGUGUGUGUGUGUGUGUGUGUGUGUGUGUGUGUGUGUGUCAUUAGUAAAAAUAAAUAAAAUUAUAUAUAUUUUUGAAAUCCAUUUAAAGACAAUGUGAUGCUACUAUCUUUCUUACAUAAAUUGUGCCAGGGAAAUUACAUUUCCCUGGCACAAUUAAACAUUAAGUCUAUUGUUUUAAUGUUAAGAAAUUGCCUGCAUAUAUUUGUUGAAUAAACAGCCUUAUGUCAGAGCCUGUGUGUUGAUUAUUAUGUAUUAUUAUUUAAUUCAGCUAUGUGAUAUUGGCUGUGUUGAGGUUGCAGGAUGUAAAUCGGUAUUAAAAAAUAUUUUAAACAUGUGUUUUUUAAAGAUUACUUUGUAAAAGAUGAGAAUUUAACACGACAUUUGUAAAUGUAUUUUAUGUCUGCUGUAUGUAAGGGUGAUUGAGAGACAGCUAGUCACUAUACUCUUAAUUUUACCCUGUUUGAAGCUGUUACACAACUUGCUGCUCCUUCUCGUCAGUGUCACGUUGACUUCGAUCUCUUCUCUUCUGUCAAAGAAUACGAGCAGCUGCAUUAUGUCUACAAGCAAACAAUCUUAUUCGUAUACUUUUGUCCCUCUGCUGAGUACAUGACAGCCCUCGUUUUGUCUCGCAGACCUUUUAUUUGUCACAAUUUUACGUUUAAUUUGCGUGUGUGUGAGAGAGAGAGGAAGCAUGGCGGCAGAUGGGUGUGCUGGAGACUCCAAAAGCUGCUGCAAAUAGCCUUUCGGGGUCGGAGUUGGGGAAACAGAGCACAUACUGCCGAGCUUAAAAUCAUGGCAGUCUGUUCUUGUGAAACAUCUGGACUCUGUAAGCAUGACUGGCUCAUUUGUGUGUAUGAAAAUGUAGACAAAACAAUAAAAUAAAGCGACGGAACAUUCACA